Molecule: long non-coding RNA, 258 nt
Filed under: Elaeis guineensis (African oil palm)
Lineage: Eukaryota; Viridiplantae; Streptophyta; Magnoliopsida; Arecales; Arecaceae
Description: long non-coding RNA (EGUI_LNC010487)
Source: RNAcentral
UUUCUUCAAAACUAGAUCUGAAAGAGAUGAGGCUCUCUGUUAGCUGCAUAAAUAUCUGACCUCUAUGAGUAUCUACUCGAGAUCAGCCUAGAACAGUCCUCUAUAAUCUGAAUUUUAAUUUUUUAAAAUUCAGCUUGCUGAAUCUGAAUGAAACCUGGAUCACGAUCAACACUUGAUCUUUCUUCUUGAUCUUCUUCUUCUCCUCUUCUCUAGAGUUUCUCCUUGCUAUGUGCUACUAUCAAAUACUAGAAACCAGCA